UGAGUAACCUGCCCUGAACUCUGGGAUAAGCGUUGGAAACGACGUCUAAUACCGGAUAGGACCUUGGGUCGCAUGACCUGGGGUGGAAAGUUUGUCGGUUUGGGAUGGACUCGCGGCCUAUCAGCUUGUUGGUGAGGUAAUGGCUCACCAAGGCGUCAACGGGUAGCCGGCCUGAGAGGGUGACCGGCCACACUGGGACUGAGACACGGCCCAGACUCCUACGGGAGGCAGCAGUGGGGAAUAUUGCACAAUGGGCGCAAGCCUGAUGCAGCAACGCCGCGUGCGGGAUGACGGCCUUCGGGUUGUAAACCGCUUUUAGUAGGG
RNAcentral lists this ribosomal RNA (324 nucleotides) under Agromyces salentinus. RNAcentral describes it as "bacterial SSU rRNA". It matches the Rfam family "Bacterial small subunit ribosomal RNA", at positions 118 to 444 of the family's 1533-position model. The record is from RNAcentral. Lineage: Bacteria; Bacillati; Actinomycetota; Actinomycetes; Micrococcales; Microbacteriaceae.